Spea bombifrons (plains spadefoot toad) is the source of this 274-nucleotide long non-coding RNA. RefSeq lists it as uncharacterized. The record is from RefSeq and is a predicted model, not a curated record. The transcript has 2 exons. Lineage: Eukaryota; Metazoa; Chordata; Amphibia; Anura; Pelobatidae.
GGUAUCCUUUCCGUGCCUGCCUGUCAACCCGUCCCCAUAGAGACCGCCCGGAGCCGCCGCCGUGCAGAUCGGGGCGCGAGAAGGGGGUUCCGUCCUGCACCCCAUCCGGAUCAAGAAUGGAAGGUCUUUAAAGGGAGAGAGACAGAGAAUGGCAACGGCAACUGAGAGAAGCGGCAUCCAGUGUCUGUGAUCGGGAUCUGGGCUUCUACCCCCCUCUCCCCUCUGUGGUUCCUUCUGUCCAUUUGCCGUGCUAUUGAUCAGCCCCGGGAGGAAA